Molecule: transfer RNA, 74 nt
Filed under: Bombardia bombarda
Lineage: Eukaryota; Fungi; Ascomycota; Sordariomycetes; Sordariales; Lasiosphaeriaceae
Also listed under: 2 other names
Rfam family: tRNA
About the family: Transfer RNA (tRNA) molecules are approximately 80 nucleotides in length.
Source: Rfam by way of RNAcentral
GGUUCGAUGGUGUAGUUGGUUAUCACGUCAGUCUAACACACUGAAGGUCUCCGGUUCAAGCCCGGGUCGAAUCA